This is a long non-coding RNA of Pteropus alecto (black flying fox), 6061 nucleotides long. RefSeq lists it as uncharacterized. Lineage: Eukaryota; Metazoa; Chordata; Mammalia; Chiroptera; Pteropodidae. The record is from RefSeq and is a predicted model, not a curated record. The transcript has 2 exons.
CACACACUCUCUCACACACUCUCUCUCACACAGUCACACUCACACACACACAUACACUCACACACACACUCACACAGGUCUGGGGAGGACAACCCGGGUAGUAACCAAACUCCGAUUUGGCAGGUGGGACUCCAAAUUCGGUUAUUAAAGGAAAUGACCGUCACUGUGCGGUCAGGGGUUGGAGGUCAAGCAUCCGGGAGACACACAUUUUGAAGGAUACAAGGUGGCACCAGAUUGAACUUCUUUUGAUUACACUUCUUUUAACGCCAGAUCAAGCUUCUCCCCAAUGGAAGAUCCUGCUCGGUUUUGUCAGCUCUUAUCUUUCAUGAAUAUUCAAUUCUUAAAGACGUAGGACAGGGAAGUGGGUGGGGGCCUAUUUUUAAAAGGCACCCCUUUCUGGGAGGGGGUGCAGCUGUCUCCUAGUUUCGAAGAGCGGAGUUGAGGCUGGAUUUCAGCCCUCCGUUCCUUUCUCGGAUGUGUGCCCCAGCACCACCUUACAUUUUAAAAAAGAAUGUUCUAGAACACAAGCGCCAUUGACCUAUCAUGACAUUAUUAGAGCAGAAGAAUUGGUGAACACUUACGAUACGCCAGGUACUAAUCUAAGCCCUCUGUUUAUUUGCUGGGAACCCUUUGAUCCUCACGCCAGCUUUUUUUUCAGAUGAGGAAACACUUUGCCAAGCUGACCCAGGAACUGCGGAGCCGAGUUGGCUCUCUUAACCCCUGCUGUCCUGCUAGACCUGGAAAGAUUCACUGCAGCAACAUGAGGCAGCGGGUCAGAGGAAGGCCCGAAGGGAAAGAACUGUGAGAAAAUUCAGCACGGCAAGGAGAAAAGGAAGUAGAGGACAGCCACGCACAAAUUCGAACCGAAGAAUUUGCUUGGACUCGGCCUGAUAUGAAUGGAAUUUCACCUACUCACAGGAGUUUCGCAAACACUCGAUCAUAUUCAUAUUCUCUCUCUCCCCACCUCCCUCCCCCCACCCAAGACUGAGAUGAACGGAAGGUUUGAAAUCAGAUAGCGGGCUGCUCUUAGAGAUGUAGAGAGGGAAUAUUAUUCUAAAUAUAAAACUGCUUAUAAAAUCCUUACAGCAAUUGUAAAAAAAAAAAAAGGAAACAUUAACAGCUCAAUCCCAGUUCAGUUUACAUUUCAUUAAACAAAAAUCUUUCAAACGUGAUAAUCACUCGAAGAAGCCCUUACUCAACAGAGUUGAGCAGAAUCAAACCUUCAGCAAAUAGGAAGGAAGCAGAUGGCUUCGAAUCCAUGAAAACCCCCCGAGCUCCAUAAUCGGGCUUAUUUUUGUACCAAACGGUGUCUGAACUCCGGGUAGCGCCUCUUAAACGGAAUGCCUGAAGCCAGCACGUGCUGACACGCCGCAGUCUGGCUCCGUCUUCGGCGCUUCGCACACCUUCAUACCUUGGGGGCCCACAACCCUGGGGUUCAGGUCCCUGUUUUCCAGUAAGAACAUAGGCUUAGAGAGAGAGAGAAAGGAGCUUGCUGGAGGUUACAAGUGACCAGGCACCCCCUCGAGAACAGCCCCCAGAUUUCAAACCUGGGCCUUCUGCACUCACACUCCGCUGCCUGACCUCUGACCUCCACUGAAGACAUGAACCCCGCCCCACAGAGAGGUUGGAGAGCUAUAAAGGCAAAAGGGAUGCCAGGUGCCAGCGGAGCCCGGCUCCACAUCUUCCCAUAAACCUGCUUUCUCUACUGGUGAGGACGAAGGAAGGUAAAUUCGUAGUCUGCUGUGUGAAGCACCAUCAUAUCACACCCUCCUGAGGCUUCCCAGGCCGGUUUCCAGUUCUUUCCUCCACCUGCUGCAUGGCUGAGCAACUUUUGACUGGUCGAUUCAUCAGGAGGCCCCGCCCCCAUCCUGCAGACGUCGGGGACUAAGAUGCAGAGGCAGAGGCACAUCCGCGCUCCGAGAGGUCUUGCCUCCCGCUAACCGUGCCAACUAUAUCGGAGCAUCUAGAUAGGCAAAGGUGGAGUCGGGGACGUGAAUCCUCCCCAGGACAGCAGAAUACAGUCAGUGGAGACCACUGCAAAAUAUAAACUGAGAAACAGAGGUAGAAGCAGAUUCUGUGGCCAGAAUGAACAGCUAGAAGAGUCAGCAGUGGUUAUCCCUAGGGAGGGCCAACUCAGUGGGACGCAUGUCACUUUUCAUCUCAAGAAUCUCUGCUUGCAAGUUUUGCCACGUCCACGCAGUUGAUAAAAAUUUAGCGAAAAACACCAACAGGGGGAAACAAAACCAUGUCCUCUCUAUCCAUUCCAUUCUUUUCCCUCCGGUUAGACACUUUUUCAAUAUUUCCAAAUACAGGGGCCGCCUGGAAAGUCGAGACUGGGAGUGACAAGCUCAAGCGUCACUCAGCGUUUCCAGUGUCCUCUUCUGUCCCUCGGUGGCUUUAUCUUGACGCAGUUCGUUUUCACAAUCAGAUCGUGGGUUCCUGAGGACACCUCUCUGGCUCACUUCCAAUGGCUUGCACAAGAACCUGGCACAGGUGGAUGGAUGCUCAAGGAAUAUUUGCUUUAUCAACACAGACCUUAUUGUCCCUCCGGAGAGCAGUUUCGCUCAGCCAACUGUGUCCCAGACCUCGAAAGCCAGCACAGAGACGCUCUCUUUAGUAUCAUUUUAAAGCAAAAUGCCCAGUGACCAUUUAGAUUUUCAAUACACAUUUAAGAAAGAGCUACCAGAAAAUGCUAUCGGAGAUGGCCCUUGACUUAAACGUAAGGUUUUUAACCUUAAGCGUAUCUUCCACUUCACUCAUUCACUCAUCAAUUUGUCCUUGGCAGAUCCUAUUACGUGCAAAGUAUAUAAAUGUGUGUAAUUUUGUAAAUCACGCUCCUGUCCUCCACAAGUUUAUAAACUGCCCUGAAAUGUGGAAGUUAAUGUCAUUACGUAAAUACAGAAUUUAUGCUGUAGAAAAAUCCGUGGAGAGUAUGCAGGCGCCUCCGCCUUGAUAAAAUUCAUGGGCUUGCGGAAACUUAGCUGGAAGUCGAAUGUUUCUGUUUGUCAGAUAAAUCACAUUCCCCCAUUGCUUACUGCUGCCAUCGCCGAGAUUUCUCUCCCGCAUUUCUGAUUGAUGCUGAGUCAACGACAGCUCCUGGGAUUCCAGCUCUAAGUUCCCUGCCAGCCCCAAGCUCUCCUUUUGCAGUUAACAAUCUGUGAACAAUGUGUCUUUCAGGAAGGAAUCUUUGCGAAGGCCAGAGGGCCUCUGAGAAAGAAGAUGGUCACUGGCCACAGGUCUGUUUGGUGUUAAGGAAGCGCUGAAGCCCCUGGCUUUGGAGCAGGCCAUCGGGACCGGCGGAUUCUCAGGCUAUUUCGAGUUUCCCAGGAGCCAGGUUAGGAUGGUGGGGGAAGAACAGGCAGAGGCUAAAUGAUCUGUGAACCCUAAAGACUCUAUCAUUCGAGAGAGAGUUAUUGAGGACUUGCUCAGCCCUUUGGAAAACUCCACGGCUGACCUUCCUUUCCGGGUCAUUUCUGGGAAGUGAACUCUGCUGUUGAAAGUCUAGCUUCAGGGAGACACGUGAACAUGUCGUUAGAACGGCUGCGUCCUGAUCUGUGAUUGAAGGAAGCGUAAUACUCAGGAGCAGCUCACAAGACAGAAUGAACGAUUCUGUUUGUGUAGGCUGGGAAAAGCGCGGGUGAUGAGGGCUGCCCGGGGGGUUGACGGAUGGGUAGAAGUUUGUCAGGUACAUAAGGUGGAAGAAGAUUCUAAACAGACUGUAAAAAUGAAGAUGUUUGUUAUCACAUGGAGUUUUAAGGAAUAUGUAUUGUCAAUCACCAGAUCUACACAUAUACCUGCCUCUGAGUCCAUUUUAUUUUAUUUUUAAUUCUCCUUCUAAGGUGGAGCAAGUAACUCUUAGGAAAAACUGACAUUUUUCUGAUAGUGAGUUUUUCAUCAUUAAUAUGGUAUAGCUAUCCACUCAUUUCGAUUUUAUUGUCUUUUAGUAAAUUUUUUUUUUCCCCAUAACGACCUUACACAUGCUUAGAUAACUUCUGUUUUGAGUUGUUGUUGCUGCUAUUGUUGUUAUAGAUGUUAACUUUAAAAAUUAUUAUUUCUAUUUGGGCUGCAUAGAAAAAAUGCAAUGGACUUUUAUAUAUCGAUCUUAUAUCGAGCUCCCUUGCUAAAUUGUCUUCAUUCCAGUGAUUAGAAAAUGAGGUUCAAUUUCCCAUGUAGACGACCACGUCAUCUAUAAAUAAUGACCGAUUUGUUUCUUCCUUUAAUAUUCACGUACCUUCUAUUCAUUCUUCUCGUUUAGUUUCACUGAUUAUGACCUCCAGGGAAUUAUAUGAUAUGAGCAGGCAUCUUUGUCUUAUUCCUGAUUGUAAAGGGUCCUAUUUAUUCCCACGUCCACACUCAUUGUCCUGAAACCACCCUUGUUAAGGCCACCAAUGACUUCUCCAUUACUGAAUUCAAAACACGAUUUAAAACACUUUUUUUUUGUUUGUUUUUUACCUCAGUUGCACUGACGUUAUUGAUCACCUCUCUUCUCGAAACGCUGCCUUCUUUAGGCUCCCCAAACACCCCACCCUCCUGCCAUGGUCUCUGCGUGCCCCUUCUCAGACAGUCUUUUCUUAAUAUCUGUCUGUCCUCUGGGGUUGAAUCUCCCCUGGGCCUCUUCCCUCAAUAUACUCUUUAUUGACGUCAUCCAUUCCGUGCCUGUAGAUGCCAUCUGAAUGACACACGCACGCACGCACACGCCCGCCAACUUGGCGUUUUGCUUUGAGGUCACAUAUGCGCCUCAAACUUAACACGUUCAACACUCAACUCUUCAUCCCCCCUACUCUGAUGUAAUCCUCCUGUGGUCUUCCCAUCUCAGUGAACGGCACCUUCGGCCACUCAGUCACUUGGAACAGAAACCGGGCGUCAUCUGCUCCCUCUUCCAUCCCCCACCCCCAACCUCUAACUAGGUUAUUUAUUCUUGCUCCCAGAAACACAGUGGUCCCCCCUUAUCUGUCGUUUCACUUUGCAUAGUUUCAGUUGCCCACGGGCAACUGUGGUCCAAAAAUAUUCAAUGGAAAAUUGUAGAAAGAAACAAUUCACGCAUUUUAAAUCGCACGCCAUUCUGAGUCGCGUGAUGAAAUCUCAUGCCGUCCUGCUCCGUCCUGCCUGGGACGCGAAUCGUCCUUCUGUCCCCUGUACCUGCACUGUGUACGCUACCCGCCUAUUAGUCACUCAGCAGCCAUCUCAGGUAUCGGAUCGACUGUCGUGGUGUCAUAGUGCUUCUGUUCAAGUGACCCUUAUUUGACCGAAUAAUGACCUCGAAGUGCAAGGGUCAUGAUGCUGGCAAUUCAGAUGUACCCAACCGAAGCCGCGAAGUGCGCCCUCUCAGAGAAAGGUGCGUAGGGUGCAGUGAGAAACGACUGUGAGAGCGGGGCCAGCUUCGCAUAACUCGUGUCCAGCACAUUGUUAUCACUGUUCUAUUUUAUUAUUAGUUAUUGCCGUUAAUCUCUUACUGUGCUUCAUCUAUAAAUUAAACUUUAUCAUAGGUACGUAUAGGCAUGUCUAUCAGAUUCAAAUCUUUCCACGGUUUCGGGCGUCCACCAGGGGCCUUGGAUGCAUCUCCCGUGGACAAGGGGCGCAGCCGUAUCUCUAAUUCCUUUUCUUCUUCAUAUCUUUUUAGUCUAAGCACCGUCCCUUCUUGCCGGACACACAGCGACAGUCUUCCGACUGGUGUCCUUAAACUCUUGUUCCAUUACAAUCCCUUUGGCAAAGCAGUUAAAAUGAUAUUUUAGAAAUACAAAGAAGAUCAUGUUACUUUUUACUGUCCCUUCCGCGACCUCUCAUCGCACUAUGCAAAAAAUCCAAAACCUUGGCGUGGCCUGCAGCGAUCUGAAUGCUAUGACGCCUUUCUACUCCCGCCUUAUCGUGUGCUGCUAAUCUCUUCACUCACUGCCCUCCGGCCACUUGGAUGUCCUUGGAGUGCUCUGAGAGGCCUAGUUUUCCCUGCCUAAGAGCUUUUCACCAAACACUGCAAGAGGGCAGGGACUGUAUCUUUCUUAGUCUCAGUUACAUACCCAGAUCCAAUAGUCAAUAGUCAAUAAAUAUUUAGUACAUAAAUGAA